RNAcentral lists this small RNA (107 nucleotides) under Marmota monax (woodchuck). The record is from RNAcentral. Lineage: Eukaryota; Metazoa; Chordata; Mammalia; Rodentia; Sciuridae.
GCCAGGCACAGUGGAGCAUGCCUGUAAUUCCGAUGGCUUGGGAGGCUGAGGCAGGAGGAUUGCAAGUUUGAGGCCAACCUCAGCAACAUAGCGAGACCCUAUCUCAA